CAUAGCGACUAUCGUGGCAUAUCAAUAAGCGGAGGAAAAGAAACUAACAAGGAUUCCCUUAGUAACGGCGAGUGAAGCGGGAAGAGCUCAAAUUUGAAAUCUUCAAGGUUCUACCUUGACGAAUUGUAGUUUAUAGAAGUGUUUUCUGUUAGUGGAGUGGCAAAAGUUCUUUGGAAUAGGACAUCAUAGAGGGUGAGAAUCCCGUAUUUGGUCAUUCCUCCUAGCGUUGUGAUACACUUUCAACGAGUCGGAUUGUUUGGGAAUGCAGUCCAAAAUGGGUGGUAAAUUUCAUCUAAAGCUAAAUAUUGGCGAGAGACCGAUAGCGAACAAGUACCGUGAGGGAAAGAUGAAAAGAACUUUGAAAAGAGAGUUAAACAGUACGUGAAAUUGUCAAAAGGGAAGCGUUUGACACCAGUGUUGUUUUUCCGAAAAUCAAUUACGAAUGUUUUGUUUUUGAGAAGUUAUGACUUCAUCGGCUUGCUUCUCUCUUUACGAAACUUUCUUAAUGCACUUUUCGGUUAACAAGUCAACAUCAAUUUCUUUUGUUGUAAAAGGGUAUGAGGAAGGUGGCUUUCUUUUCGGAGAAAGUGUUUAUAGCCUUGUACCUCUGCAAUCGGAGAGAUUGAGGUCUGCAGCGUAGAUCCUUCGGGGUUAGAUACAUUUGUGCUAAGUUAUAGCUUUUCAUAGACAACUUGUUGACUAUGUUAAGUCUUGUAGCUUACUCGCUUAUGCUAUUUUACCUACGCUUAGGAUGUUGACGAGACUGUCGAUCUC
RNAcentral lists this ribosomal RNA (774 nucleotides) under uncultured Neocallimastigales. RNAcentral describes it as "partial large subunit ribosomal RNA". It matches the Rfam family "Eukaryotic large subunit ribosomal RNA", at positions 22 to 647 of the family's 3401-position model. Lineage: Eukaryota; Fungi; Neocallimastigomycota; Neocallimastigomycetes; Neocallimastigales. The record is from RNAcentral.